This 294-nucleotide long non-coding RNA is filed under the name Brassica rapa (field mustard). RNAcentral describes it as "long non-coding RNA (BRAP_LNC006609)". The record is from RNAcentral. Lineage: Eukaryota; Viridiplantae; Streptophyta; Magnoliopsida; Brassicales; Brassicaceae.
UGUGAACAUUAAGAUACUUUCAUUAAACGGUGGGUCCUUCUAUCUACUAUAAUGGGCUUGAUUUCUUAUUUUUAUAGUCUUUAAAACGGUGGGUUUUUAGUUCAAUCUUUAGACUUUUGUCUCGAGGACUUGGCACAGACAGAGGACGAAAAAGAAAAUUUAUACAGGUGGAGAAACUAAAAGAUGAGAUGGACCAUGCUUGACUCCGUCUCUUAACUGUGUUCUUAAAUUUUCUUAGAUUUUAAUUAAAAAAACUAAAAACUGUCUCUUAAAUAAGAGAUAUAAGAGUCCUCU